UACGAGGGGGGCAAGCGUUGUUCGGAAUUAUUGGGCGUAAAGGGUGCGUAGGCGGUCUGAUAAGUCAUCUGUGAAAUCUAUGGGCUCAACCCAUAGUCUGCAGGCGAAACUGUCGGGCUUGAGUAUGGGAGAGGUGAGUGGAAUUUCCGGUGUAGCGGUGAAAUGCGUAGAUAUCGGAAGGAACACCUGUGGCGAAAGCGGCUCACUGGACCAUUACUGACGCUGAUGCACGAAGGCCAGGGGAGCAAACGGG
RNAcentral lists this ribosomal RNA (253 nucleotides) under uncultured bacterium. Its description in RNAcentral is "partial 16S ribosomal RNA". It matches the Rfam family "Bacterial small subunit ribosomal RNA", at positions 524 to 776 of the family's 1533-position model. The record is from RNAcentral.